AGAAGUGCAAGUACAUGUGUGGUACAAACCAUCAGGAAAAAAGUCUCUUUAGGUAUUAUUGUGCAGAUAGUCUUGCUAAAAAGCCCAGGCUGGACAAAACUUGAGAUCCUUCUGUGGCAAUCUCCCAAAGGACAGCGAUUUCAGGCAUGCACCACCAGAUAUCCUUUUUCCAGCAUCCUUAUCCUACUACCUGGCCAGAAUCUGAAAAAAACUCCUCCCAUCUCUGCUUCCCAGCUACCGUGACAAGAACAAGUGUCUUUGAAGCAUGCUGCCUUCAUCAUUCUGCUUUUGCUGAGAUCUGGCCAACAACGGCAACAACAAAAGACUGAGACUUCUGAAAC
Molecule: long non-coding RNA, 341 nt
Organism: Fukomys damarensis (Damara mole-rat)
Lineage: Eukaryota; Metazoa; Chordata; Mammalia; Rodentia; Bathyergidae
Exons: 3
Source: RefSeq, a predicted model, not a curated record